AACCGUGUACGUACAAGCAGUGGGAGCACCCUUCGGGGUGUGACUGCGUACCUUUUGUAUAAUGGGUCAGCGACUUAUAUUCUGUAGCAAGGUUAACCGAAUAGGGGAGCCGGAGGGAAACCGAGUCUUAACCGGGCGUUAAGUUGCAGGGUAUAGACCCGAAACCCGGUGAUCUAGCCAUGGGCAGGUUGAAGGUUGGGUAACACUAACUGGAGGACCGAACCGACUAAUGUUGAAAAAUUAGCGGAUGACCUGUGGCUGGGGGUGAAAGGCCAAUCAAACCGGGAGAUAGCUGGUUCUCCCCGAAAGCUAUUUAGGUAGCGCCUCGUGAAUUCAUCUCCGGGGGUAGAGCACUGUUUCGGCUAGGGGGCCAUCCCGGCUUACCAACCCGAUGCAAACUGCGAAUACCGGAGAAUGUUAUCACGGGAGACACACGGCGGGUGCUAACGUCCGUCGUGAAGAGGGAAACAACCCAGACCGCCAGCUAAGGUCCCAAAGUCAUGGUUAAGUGGGAAACGAUGUGGGAAGGCCCAGACAGCCAGGAUGUUGGCUUAGAAGCAGCCAUCAUUUAAAGAAAGCGUAAUAGCUCACUGGUCGAGUCGGCCUGCGCGGAAGAUGUAACGGGGCUAAACCAUGCACCGAAGCUGCGGCAGCGAACGUAUCACUUAAAGCGAUUCAGCGGGUUACGAUUGACGGAGCGAAGCGACGUCAAAGCGUAUACAAAGUC
This 727-nucleotide ribosomal RNA is filed under the name Salmonella enterica. RNAcentral's name for it is "partial 23S ribosomal RNA". It matches the Rfam family "Bacterial large subunit ribosomal RNA", at positions 554 to 1260 of the family's 2925-position model. Lineage: Bacteria; Pseudomonadati; Pseudomonadota; Gammaproteobacteria; Enterobacterales; Enterobacteriaceae. The record is from RNAcentral.